Molecule: ribosomal RNA, 478 nt
Filed under: uncultured bacterium
Lineage: Bacteria
Description: partial 16S ribosomal RNA
Rfam family: Bacterial small subunit ribosomal RNA
Source: RNAcentral
GAUUAACGCUGGCGGCGUGCCUAACACAUGCAAGUCGAACGAUGAAACUCAUUAGAUUUCUUCGGAAUGAAAAUGAAUGGAUUAGUGGCGAACGGGUGAGUAACGCGUGAGUAACCUGCCUUACACAAGGGGAUAGCCUCUGGAAACGGAGAAUAAUACCCUAUGAAACCAGACAAUCGCAUGAUAAUCUGGUCAAAAUGUUUAGUGGUGUAAGAUGGACUUGCGUCUGAUUAGCUAGUUGGUGAGAUAAAAGCUCACCAAGGCAACGAUCAGUAGCCGGCUUGAGAGAGUGUACGGCCACAUUGGGACUGAGACACGGCCCAGACUCCGACGGGAGGCAGCAGUGGGGAAUUUUGCACAAUGGGGGAAACCCUGAUGCAGCGACGCCGCGUGAUUGAGAAGGCCUUCGGGUUGUAAAAAUCUUUUGUAUAGGAAGAAAAUGACAGUACUAUACGAAUAAGGUCCGGCUAAGUACGUG